Molecule: ribosomal RNA, 253 nt
Filed under: uncultured bacterium
Lineage: Bacteria
Description: partial 16S ribosomal RNA
Rfam family: Bacterial small subunit ribosomal RNA
Source: RNAcentral
UACAGAGGGCGCAAGCGUUGCUCGGAUUCAUUGGGCGUAAAGGGUGCGUAGGCGGCGCGGUAAGUCGGGUGUGAAAUCUUGGAGCUUAACUCCGAAACUGCAUUCGAUACUGCCGUGCUUGAGGACUGGAGAGGAGACUGGAAUUUACGGUGUAGCGGUGAAAUGCGUAGAUAUCGUAAGGAAGACCAGUGGCGAAGGCGGGUCUCUGGACAGUUCCUGACGCUGAGGCACGAAGGCCAGGGGAGCAAACGGG